AGAGUUUGAUCCUGGCUCAGAAUGAACGCUGGCGGCGCGCUUAACACAUGCAAGUCGAACGAGAAAUCUCGAGUUUGCUCGGGAGAGUAAAGUGGCGCACGGGUGAGUAACGCGUGGGUAACCUGUCCUUAAAUUUGGGAUAAUCCACCGAAAGGUGGCCUAAUACCAAAUACAGUCCUGAGAACCAAGGUCCUUGGAUGAAAGCUGACCUCUUCAUGAAAGUUGGCGUUUAAGGAGGGGCUCGCGUACCAUUAGCUUGUUGGUAGGGUAAUGGCCUACCAAGGCUACGAUGGUUAGCUGGUCUGAGAAGAUGGCCAGCCACACUGGAACUGAAACACGGUCCAGACUCCUACGGGAGGCAGCAGUGAGGAAUCUUGCGCAAUGGGGGAAACCCUGACGCAGCGACGCCGUGUGAGUGAAGAAGGCCUUCGGGUCGUAAAGCUCUGUCAAGUGGGAAUAAAGUCUCUUGGUGAAUACCCGAGGGAUUUGAAGGUACCACUAAGGGAAGCACCGGCUAACUCCGUGCCAGCAGCCGCGGUAAUACGGAGGGUGCAAGCGUUAUUCGGAUUUAUUGGGCGUAAAGAGCGUGUAGGCGGUUGGGAUAGUCAGACGUGAAAGCCUUCUGCUCAACAGAAGAAGUACGUCUGAAACUGCCCAACUUGAGUACGAGAGAGGAAAGUGGAAUUCCCAGUGUAGAGGUGAAAUUCGUAGAUAUUGGGAGGAACACCUGCGGCGAAGGCGACUUUCUGGAUCGAUACUGACGCUGAGACGCGAAAGCGUGGGGAGCAAACAGGAUUAGAUACCCUGGUAGUCCACGCCGUAAACGAUGUUCACUAGGUGUUGGGGGUAUUGACCCCCUCAGUGCCGUAGCUAACGUAUUAAGUGAACCGCCUGGGGAGUACGGUCGCAAGACUAAAACUCAAAGAAAUUGACGGGGGCCCGCACAAGCGGUGGAGCAUGUGGUUUAAUUCGAUGCGACGCGAAGAACCUUACCUGGGCUUGACAUCCCAAGAAUCUCCUGGAAACAGGAGAGUGCCUCUUUGAGGAGCUUGGUGACAGGUGCUGCAUGGCUGUCGUCAGUUCGUGCCGUGAGGUGUUGGGUUAAGUCCCGCAACGAACGCAACCCCUGUGGUUAGUUGCCACCACCGGUGAUGAGCCGGUGAGCACUCUAGCCAGACUGCCCGUGCAAGCGGGAGGAAGGUGGGGAUGACGUCAAGUCAGUAUGGCCCUUACGCCCUGGGCUGCACACGUGCUACAAUGGUCGGUACAGAAGGAUGCAAUGCCGCGAGGUGGAGCAAAUCCUCAAAGCCGACCCCAGUUCGGAUUGGAGUCUGCAACUCGACUCCAUGAAGUCGGAUUCGCUAGUAAUGGCGCAUCAGCUACGGCGCCGUGAAUGCGUUCCCGGGCCUUGUACACACCGCCCGUCACAUCAUGAAAGCCGUCUGCACCCGAAGUCACUGAGCUAACCUUUUAUUAGGAGGCAGGUGCCGAAGGUGUGGGUGGUGAUUGGGAUGAAGUCGUAACAAGGUAACC
This 1533-nucleotide ribosomal RNA is filed under the name uncultured bacterium. Its description in RNAcentral is "bacterial SSU rRNA". It matches the Rfam family "Bacterial small subunit ribosomal RNA". The record is from RNAcentral.